AGUGGAAUGGACAUGAGAGCCAUUGACAGAUCACCAACAUGGUGAUUCAUUUGAAAGUUCACAAUGUAGUGCAUUAGCAGAAAAUGGUUGAUGUACCCUGCUUCAACUCUGAUGAACACAGGAGCUCCAGAGCCAAGCUGCAGUGCUGCAUUCCCAACUGCUCACCAGAUGUCUAAGCCAAGAUACGCCAUCAUCAGCUCAAACUCAUCAUUCUCAAACCAAACUUCUCAAUUUCUACUGCAAGCCACUCAUGACUCCUGACCUUCCUGUUUUUGUUAAACACACCACUACUCCUCCAACUCUAAAAGGACUCUUGCACUUGGACACUGUCGCAGAUGUAGGUGCCAACCCUCACCACUGCCUCCCUCCAAGGCAGCUUGAGGAUACAGGUUCCACACGUCCUACGGCUGCCUGCAUUCCUCUAGCAGCUGGAGAGCGCUGGACCUUCUCGGCCACACCAGAAGUGCCGGGGAGUUAACACCCAGGCACAAUUCUCAACAAUAGAGCAAGGGAGUUUAGUAGAUAAAUACAUCAAUUUCCCCGGCCUUUCAGUGGGCAAUUCUGAGACAAGCUCUAUGGUCUCUCACAGCUUCCUCAGGAAUACAUCUGUUUCCUGGCCCUCUUGCCUCUCCUGUGUCAUUUCCCUACUCCCUCACGAUGCUUACUGGGAUUGUCUUCCAAAGAAAUUACUUGUAGCCAAAUCCUUAUCUAAAAGACUGCUUUAGGGUAGGCAGAGGUAAUCCCAGCUAAGACAGAGGUCCUAUUAAUACUUAAAAUGUGUUACAGAUUAUAAUAAUCUCAAAACCAGCACCCCAACUCCUUCUAUCCCCUGUUAUUUUACCUUUUUGCCUUCUCUUGAGAGCUGAGUGCUACAGGGGUAGAGGUUUUUACAGACAUACUUUAUUUCUGCCCCUAGUUUUAUGGUGUCACCCCAGGUGAGUCCAUGGAUCUCUUCUGAUUCGGUGUGUGUGUGUGUGUGUGUGUGUGUGUGUGUGUGUGUGUGUGAGAUGGUUCUUUCCAGGGCUGUUUUAAGCAUUAAUAAAAUAAAGCAUGCAGAGCACCUUUUACUUUGACUUCAUCCCAUUAUAAUGCAG
Long non-coding RNA from Zalophus californianus (California sea lion), 1094 nucleotides. Lineage: Eukaryota; Metazoa; Chordata; Mammalia; Carnivora; Otariidae. The record is from Ensembl.